RNAcentral lists this ribosomal RNA (277 nucleotides) under uncultured bacterium. RNAcentral's name for it is "partial 16S ribosomal RNA". It matches the Rfam family "Bacterial small subunit ribosomal RNA", at positions 28 to 304 of the family's 1533-position model. The record is from RNAcentral.
GAUGAACGCUAGCGGCAGGCUUAAUACAUGCAAGUCGAACGGUAAGUAGUGUAGCAAUACAUUACCAAGAGUGACGUACGGGUGCGUAACACGUAUGCAACCUACCUUGUACAGGAGUAUAGCUCGGGGAAACUCGAAUUAACCCUCCAUAAGAUCGUGGUGUGGCAUCACACAGCGAUAAAAACUCAGGUGGUACAAGCUGGGCAUGCGUCUGAUUAGAGUUGGCGGGGUAACGGCCCACCAAGACGAUGAUCAGUAGGGGAACUGAGAGGUUGAU